Molecule: long non-coding RNA, 4914 nt
Filed under: Homo sapiens (human)
Lineage: Eukaryota; Metazoa; Chordata; Mammalia; Primates; Hominidae
Description: HSALNT0376964
Source: RNAcentral
CCUUGUGAUUUGCCUGCCUCAGCCUCCCAAAGUGCUGGGAUAACAGGCGUGAGCCACCACGCCCAGCUUCAAAAGUUUUCAACAGAGCUCAGAGGUCUUAACCACAGGCACAUCCGAGGAGCAUUUUUGAAAUGGUUUCCAGCUUCCUCAAUAGGAAUGGAAGCCAAACCCGGAACUGAUGGCUCCUUGGAGGAAGUCGAGAGCUGUAAGGAAAGCCAGGAACAGGGGCAAGGGAGAGAUGCAUCCCGAAUGAUCCUGUGCCAAUUCUUUCUGGAAUCUUUGAUGUGAUCUCCGCUGCCCUUUCCAUACUUGACACAGUGAUUGUGGCACCCACUGGUCUAGCUGUGGUCUACAAGGAACCCCCAAAGGGAAGGGCACAGUGAGCAGGGGCAUCGGCCUGAGUGACAAGGAUUGGAGGGGGCAGGUUGGAUGCAGGGAGAGGACUGGCCAAAUGCCAUGUGUCUGGCUUAGACUACCUUGUUCAAAUUGGGCUUCACCAUUUUUGACUUCGUGAUCUGGUACAAGUUAUAUGAAAAUGUGUUGCUCCUUUUCUAGUCUGUAAAAUCAUAAGGAAAUGUGCACUAAUAACUGGGAGACUAUGCAGAUGAAAUGAAACAAGCUGCAUAGAACACAGAGCUCAGAGCCUGGCCUUUAGGAAGCCCUCAGUAAGGGUUCAUGAUGCCAUGGUGUCUGUCAUCAUCCUCUUUAUCCUCAUCAUCACCUUCAUCAUCUUUUUGUUGUUCUGAGGGCAUACUUUAGAGGGACUCAUUCCCUGCUCUCAUGGGUGAGAUGUCUAUGAAGAGGACAACCAGUGGGGGAGGGAAGCAAAAUUUUGAAGAAGAUUCCUGAGAGAGAUCCCCCACCACAACCAAGAACAGAAACUCCACAGUCUGCUGAGCUGACAGUUUGCACAUUGGUCUCCUCCCAUCUGCCCACGGCACUCUCCCGUUUGUCCUGAAGAUGAGGAAACAAACAAGGCUCCCGACCGUCCCUCAGCACUCACUGAACGGCCCUUCCCCUCUGCUGGGCCAUGACCACGGAGAACAGGUCCACUGUCCUCCCUGAGUGGUGCACAUGGGAGGCUCAGACUCCGUCCUCAAGGCUGGUAAGAAGACAGGGUGAGACAUGAGCCUCCUGAUACAGGUGACGGGUGUGGAGCCCACAGGACUGCAACCUCACACUGCAGGGCUGGAGGCACAGACUGAGUAUUUCCUAUUCUAUGGCCUGGGGGGCUCAAGGCACAGAGCUCCUCAUUAGCCAGAGUCGCCCAUGUUCCCCAUGCUCUAAGGAUUUCCUCAUCAUCAUGCAAGAAGAAGAAUAGAAAAAAGGAAGAGGAAGAAACAAAAGGAACUUCUCUCUUAGAUUUAAUUCUGACCUACCAGGAAGAACUGGAUUGUUGAAGCAGAAGUACUGGAGUCUCUGGAGCUAAAACCAAGGAUAAGAACAUUAAGAUUAUCCUGCUGGAGAGAGAGGCCAUGCGGAAGAACCCUGGAAAAUGAGACAGCUCACAGAGCAAGAGGCCAUGUGGAGAAGGCCUAGAAGUAAAAUGCCUCAUGGAACAAGAGGCCACAUGCAGAAGGCCUGGAGGAUGAGACGCCCUGUGAAGUGAGAGGCCACGUGGAGAAGGCCUAGAGGAGGAGACACCUUAUGGAGCAAGAGGCCGAAUGGAGAAGCCCCAGAGGGUUAGACACCUUGUGGAGCAAGAGGUCACACGCAGAAGUCCUGGGAGUGAGAUGCCUCACGAAGCGAGAUGCCUCGUGAAGCGAGAUGCCUCGUGGAGUGAGAGGCCAUGUGGAAGAACCCUGGAACUCAGCGGCUGAUAACACAAAGAUCCCAUGGUGUGAGAGAGGCCUUCAUGAACUUCCCGUCCAGCCCAGCUAGAGCCAAAUGGAGCCAUAUGUGUGACCGCAAGUGACAUCUACAAAAGAACGACCCAGUCACCCUGAGAAUUGUUAGAAAUGCAAAGCACUAAGUUUUGGGGUAGUUUGUUACACAGCAAUAGCUAACUGAUACAGAUGGUUUGAAUUACUUGACUUUAAAGUUCCUUCUUACCCUGAAAGUUUAUGGCUUAGUAAAGUGAAUUAAGCACAUUUGACUGAAACAGAGAGAUGGUGUAGGAAAAGAUCAGAAGGUAAGGGCAGGGCAAGGUGAGGAAGGCUUUCCGUGCCACGAUAAGGAAUUUGAGCUUUAACUGGUAGGUUCUGAAGCUGUCCCAGGAGGAAGUGACAUGAGAAGAUAGUUUUUUAGGAAGACCCACACUGCAGCAGCAUGUAGAUCAGACACGUGGGCACACAGAGCAGAUGUGAGAGAGAAGGAGGCAUGGAGACCUGAUUGCUGAGGCAAAAAGAUGCAGCUGACAAUUAUGGAGCAACAAGCUACUGAAUACAGAAUUGAACAUUCAGUCUUCAAGACACAGAUGUAAGCUGCUUUCUCUGUAUCAGCCUUCUCUGUAUCAACUCUUCAUUUUUUCCAACUAUGAUGUUUUUACUUUCAAAAAUCCAUGGGAGAAUACAUGGUAUGUCGUUAAAAGCCUGGGAUUUGAAAUAAGAAAGCCUUAGCUUUAAACCCCUUCUCUCACCUUCUAGCUGUGUAACUCUGGGCAAGUUACUGAACCUUGCUGUAUCGCAGCUUCUUCAUUUGUAAAAUGGAUAUAAUGAUAUUUGUCUCACAGGAGUAAUGCAAAGAUAAAAACGGAUUAUGUCUCAUGCAUUUACUUUUACUAAAUGGCUAAAUGCUCAAGCAACACAAAUACAUGAUUAUUUCUCUUUCACGUAACAGUCCAGGUUGGGAGUGUCAGGUUGAGGGGUGGAUCUUUUUCACAUCUUCUUGAAAGAAUUCGUGGUAAAAGCUGUCUUCAGUUUAUGCCUUCCAAGGUUCUUUUGGCCAUCGCCAUUCCAGAAAGAAGAGGAGAAGAGAGCAUGAAGGAGCCCGCCUAACAUGUUUUAUCUGGCUUCUCAGAAAUGGCACAUGCUUCUACUUGCAUUCCAUUGGCAAGAACACACGGCACACCAGCUGCCCACGGGGAUAGGGAAUCCCAGCUAGAAUUCCAUCCAAUAGAAGACAGAGGGGAGAGAAGAGCAGGGUAUUGGUAUCCACGCAAUUCAUCCAUUUAUUCCUCAAGCAUGUGUUAAGCGUUUGGCGAUGCUUCACGAUGUUGGACUCUGGACAUUCACAGAAGAUGAACACAUCUCACAAAAGUGACCUCAGACAGGCUGCUCCAAGUCUCCCUGGACCACCUGCGUAGUUCAGCCAUAUUCUACAGUGAGCACUUAGAACAGGACAUGCAGGGGCUACACAGGCAUCAAGGCUGGCUGAUUCCACAGAGCAAGAAUGUCAACAAGGAUCCAGCUUAUUUUUGCCUCUUCACCCCACCAUCUUUUAUGUCAGCCUCGUCCUCAGGGAAGUAGGAUGCAACAGUUCCAGCUGGACACGACAAUACUCACAGGAAGACGAAAGAGACUCUUAUUGCUGCUGUAUCGUGGGAACCUUGUCCCCGAUGCCCAUCAGGGUCAACUAUUUACAUGGGAAGGAAAAACAUACCCCGCAACUACAACCUGAUGUCAGUACCAAGAGCAGUAUGCAAACGACUAUUACGGGCGCUCAGAAGCAUCACAAUGGAAGGGAAGUUGCAGCUGCCUAUACCCACACCCACAUCUUGUCUACCUGCCUGCUGCGUCACAGCCUGGCUGCAUUACUGGGCUCACUUCAGUUCCAAGAAAGCUUCCAGAAAUCAUGGCAGGCACACCUGCAGUGAGCAGAUCUGUGUCUACUUGUCCUUUAAGUGGACACCACUUUUCUGUUCAGAGCACAGAUCAAUGUGUCAGACAGAGCUCUUGGAUGACAAUAUUGUCCUGGCAGGGAUCCAGAGCGGCUGGGGAUAGAGAAUAUUAAAUGGGUCUGGUGCAGAACAGUUGAGGUGUGACUGGAUGUGACAGAGGACAGCACCUCUUUGACAAUGACAUUAUGUGAGUUUGGGUGGGCUCUCAGCUCAGGUUUCAGAUGGCCAGGCAUCUGUUGCUGGCCGCCAUUCUGUUGACAUUUUACAUUUUGUGACCAUAAAUUAACUUUGGAAGAAGUUGAUAGACAAGUAGGUCAUUAUUUGGGUGUUCCUGUGUUUCUCAUAACAUUUUAAAUUCAGUCAGGGCAGAAAAUAUAUAUGUCUUUCCUUUAUACCAUUACCCUAAUCCCUGGCACAUGGUGGGUUUCCUCUUGACUUUAGUGGAACGUGCCUGGACCUUAACAAUCCCAACACCCCACCUUCCCCGCAACCCUGUCUUCUUCCCCAUCUCUCCAGCUGGCUUCCUGCCUUGUUUUCUCCUCACAUAGAUUUAACAGAUGCUCUGAGCCCCGCAGUGCACUUCAGUUCUAUUCUCUGCACUCGCCAUGGCACUUGGCACCAUUAACUGCAGCUCUCUCUGCCUUGACAUCUGCACCCCACUCUCCCCUGUGUGUUUUUUCUUUGGGGGUUUCUUAUCAGGCGCCUCUUCUUUAAAUGCUUGUUUUCCUUUGAGCCCUGUCCAAAGCUCUAGGUUCCAUUUUCCACUUUCUACGUUCUAUCUGGUCCUUCAUUCAAAUUUACAGCUCACAUCUCUGCUUUUGCCUCUAGCCCAGAUCUCUCUCUCUCUCUCUCUCUCUCUCUCUCUCUCUGUCUUUCAAACCUUACACAACUUGAGACAUCUUCACUCACAUAUCCUGCAGGUACACCGAACUCAACAUGGUCAAUACAGGAGACAGUCUCUCACCCCAAAAUGGAAUUUCUCUCUUUUUAAAGGAAACCAGCAUUCAUAAGCCAGAAGCCAAUCUGGAUUUUGUCUGGAAACUCAAGUAUAAGACCUAGCACCACUUGCCAAGGACCUCUGCUUUGCUUUGGUAGGCCAAGGGUCUGGCUCUGUUACCCAGGCUGGAUUGCAGUGG